GUAGUUGUGGCUGUGUGGUGAAGGCGAUGGACUAGAAAUCCAUUGGGGUUUCCCCGUGCAAUUUUGAAUCCUGCCAACUACA
RNAcentral lists this transfer RNA (82 nucleotides) under Egretta garzetta (little egret). It matches the Rfam family "tRNA". From Rfam's summary of the family: Transfer RNA (tRNA) molecules are approximately 80 nucleotides in length. Lineage: Eukaryota; Metazoa; Chordata; Aves; Pelecaniformes; Ardeidae. The record is from Rfam by way of RNAcentral.